GACGAACGCUGGCGGCGUGCUUAACACAUGCAAGUCGAACGGAAAGGCCCUGCUUUUGUGGGGUGCUCGAGUGGCGAACGGGUGAGUAACACGUGAGUAACCUGUCCUUGACUUUGGGAUAACUUCAGGAAACUGGGGCUAAUACCGGAUAGGAGUUCCUGCUUUAUGGUGGGGGUUGGUAAGUUUCGGCGGUUGGGGAUGGACUCGCGGCGUAUCAGCUUGUUGGUGGGGUAGUGGCUUACCAAGGCUUUGACGGGUAGCCGGCCUGGGAGGGUGACCGGCCACGUUGGAACUGGGAUGCGACCCAGACUACAACGGGAGGGGGGGGAGGGGAAUAUAGCACAAUAGACGGAGGCCAGGUGCAACAAAGCCGCGUGGGGGAUGUCAGCCUGCGGUUAGUGAACCGAUUUCGCCUGUGACGAGACGUGAAUGACGGUAAUGGGUAAAGAAGCACCGGCUAACUACGUG
Molecule: ribosomal RNA, 468 nt
Filed under: uncultured bacterium
Lineage: Bacteria
Description: partial 16S ribosomal RNA
Rfam family: Bacterial small subunit ribosomal RNA
Source: RNAcentral